This 403-nucleotide ribosomal RNA is filed under the name bacterium. RNAcentral's name for it is "partial 16S ribosomal RNA". It matches the Rfam family "Bacterial small subunit ribosomal RNA", at positions 355 to 776 of the family's 1533-position model. The record is from RNAcentral.
UGGGGAAUAUUGCACAAUGGGGGAAACCCUGAUGCAGCGACGCCGCGUGAACGAAGAAGGUAUUCGUAUCGUAAAGUUCUGUCCUAUGGGACGAUAAUGACAGUACCAUAGAAGAAAGCUCCGGCUAAAUACGUGCCAGCAGCCGCGGUAAUACGUAUGGAGCGAGCGUUGUCCGGAAUUAUUGGGCGUAAAGGGUACGCAGGCGGUUUAAUAAGUCGAAUGUUAAAGAUCGGGGCUCAACCCCGCAAAGCAUUGGAAACUGAUAAAAUUGAGUAGUGGAGAGGAAAGUGGAAUUCCUAGUGUAGUGGUGAAAUACGUAGAUAUUAGGAGGAAUACCAGUAGCGAAGUCGACUUUCUGGACACAAACUGACGCUGAGGUACGAAAGCGUGGGGAGCAAACAGG